Cylindrobasidium torrendii FP15055 ss-10 is the source of this 72-nucleotide transfer RNA. It matches the Rfam family "tRNA". From Rfam's summary of the family: Transfer RNA (tRNA) molecules are approximately 80 nucleotides in length. Their secondary structure includes four short double-helical elements and three loops (D, anti-codon, and T loops). The record is from Rfam. Lineage: Eukaryota; Fungi; Basidiomycota; Agaricomycetes; Agaricales; Physalacriaceae.
GGGCGUUUAGCUCAGUGGUAGAGCGCCCGCUUUGCAUGCGGGAGGUCCGGGUUUCAAUCACCCGAGUGUCCA